Molecule: long non-coding RNA, 303 nt
Organism: Nothoprocta perdicaria
Lineage: Eukaryota; Metazoa; Chordata; Aves; Tinamiformes; Tinamidae
Exons: 4
Source: RefSeq, a predicted model, not a curated record
GGCUGCCUGUUUGAAGAUGACCUUUGCAAAUCUUUUGAAGUUUGUGUAAAUGAUGGGAUAUUUGGGAGAUGUCAGCGGGUGCCAGUAAGAGACAUAUAUAAAUACGACAUUUCACCCCUUGUUCUUCAGCGCUUAAGGAUCAUCCUAGAGAAGCUCUCACACAGAGGUUUUACCUGGCAAGAUGACUACACACAGCAUGUUAUUGGUCAGGAGCUCUCAACCAUUCAUAAAAUCCGCACCAGACACCCUGAUAUAUUUCCACCUGGAGGGUCUCAUGGAGGAAGGACUUCAGAAGAGAAUGCA